This is a long non-coding RNA of Symphalangus syndactylus (siamang), 277 nucleotides long. RefSeq lists it as uncharacterized. Lineage: Eukaryota; Metazoa; Chordata; Mammalia; Primates; Hylobatidae. The record is from RefSeq and is a predicted model, not a curated record.
AGCCGAUACUGGCUGCCCAGCGGGACCUGAUGAGACAUCGGAAGCUCACAUGACCUCCAUUAUCACUGUCACUGCCGUGCGUGCUGUUCACACAAACAUCGGAGAUCUGAGAAAACUGGAGCUCUGAGAGGUGGACUACCUUGCUCCAAGACAUACGGCCCUUCUCCCACUGCCAGGCAGGACUGAGUUACUGCUUUCCUGAGAGGAGGGAACCACAUCACUCCUCAAAAGGAAACUGGAGACCACGCUAGGUGAGCCCAACUUUCCUGGAUACCAG